Molecule: ribosomal RNA, 300 nt
Filed under: uncultured Desulfurococcus sp.
Lineage: Archaea; Thermoproteati; Thermoproteota; Thermoprotei; Desulfurococcales; Desulfurococcaceae
Description: bacterial SSU rRNA
Rfam family: Bacterial small subunit ribosomal RNA
Source: RNAcentral
GGUGACUCCGUGCAUGGAGGCGCGGUAAUACGGGGGGUUCGAGUGUGAAUUGUGAUUACUGAGGGUGAAGGGUGCGUCGGUUGUUUUAUAAGGUAUCUGUGAAAGCCCUGGGCGUAACCUGGGCAGGUCAGAUAAAACUGUUAGACUCGAGUAUGGGAGAGGGUAGUGGAAUUUCCGGUGUAGCGGUGAAAUGCGUAGAGAUCGGAAGGAACACCAGUGGCGAAGGCGGCUACCUGGCCUAAUACUGACACUGAGGCACGAAAGCGUGGGGAGCAAACAGGAUUAGAUACCCCGGUAGUC